ACACGACACUCUGGAAAGCGGCUUCGCAAGCGUUUGCGGGGCCCACCGAAGGGGUAAGCCGGCACGCGCUACAAGGCGCGCGGCGAAAGCUCUCAGGUUCCGUGACAGAGGGGCGGCU
This 118-nucleotide non-coding RNA is filed under the name Pseudomonadota bacterium. Its description in RNAcentral is "Proteobacteria bacterium Glycine sequence". It matches the Rfam family "Glycine riboswitch aptamer". From Rfam's summary of the family: This family represents the bacterial glycine riboswitch. Glycine riboswitches usually consist of two metabolite-binding aptamers domains with similar structures in tandem. Lineage: Bacteria; Pseudomonadati; Pseudomonadota. The record is from RNAcentral.